AAAGCCUCUAGAUAGAAAAUAGGUGCCCGUACCGCAAACCGACACAGGUAGUCAAGAUGAGAAUUCUAAGGUGAGCGAGCGAACUCUCGUUAAGGAACUCGGCAAAAUGACCCCGUAACUUCGGGAGAAGGGGUGCUCUUUAGGGUUAACGCCCAGAAGAGCCGCAGUGAAUAGGCCCAAGCGACUGUUUAUCAAAAACACAGGUCUCUGCUAAACCGUAAGGUGAUGUAUAGGGGCUGACGCCUGCCCGGUGCUGGAAGGUUAAGAGGAGUGGUUAGCUUCUGCGAAGCUACGAAUCGAAGCCCCAGUAAACGGCGGCCGUAACUAUAACGGUCCUAAGGUAGCGAAAUUCCUUGUCGGGUAAGUUCCGACCCGCACGAAAGGCGUAACGAUUUGGGCACUGUCUCAACGAGAGACUCGGUGAAAUCAUAGUACCUGUGAAGAUGCAGGUUACCCGCGACAGGACGGAAAGACCCCGUGGAGCUUUACUGUAGCCUGAUAUUGAAAUUCGGCACAGCUUGUACAGGAUAGGUAGGAGCCUUUGAAACGUGAGCGCUAGCUUACGUGGAGGCGCUGGUGGGAUACUACCCUAGCUGUGUUGGCUUUCUAACCCGCACCACUUAUCGUGGUGGGAGACAGUGUCAGGCGGGCAGUUUGACUGGGGCGGUCGCCUCCUAAAAGGUAACGGAGGCGCUCAAAGGUUCCCUCAGAAUGGUUGGAAAUCAUUCAUAGAGUGUAAAGGCAUAAGGGAGCUUGACUGCGAGACCUACAAGUCGAGCAGGGUCGAAAGACGGACUUAGUGAUCCGGUGGUUCCGCAUGGAAGGGCCAUCGCUCAACGGAUAAAAGCUACCCCGGGGAUAACAGGCUUAUCUCCCCCAAGAGUUCACAUCGACGGGGAGGUUUGGCACCUCGAUGUCGGCUCAUCGCAUCCUGGGGCUGUAGUCGGUCCCAAGGGUUGGGCUGUUCGCCCAUUAAAGCGGUACGCGAGCUGGGUUCAGAACGUCGUGAGACAGUUCGGUCCCUAUCCGUCGUGGGCGUAGGAAAUUUGAGAGGAGCUGUCCUUAGUACGAGAGGACCGGGAUGGACAUACCUCUGGUGUACCAGUUGUCGUGCCAACGGCAUAGCUGGGUAGCUAUGUGUGGACGGGAUAAGUGCUGAAAGCAUCUAAGCAUGAAGCCCCCCUCAAGAUGAGAUUUCCCAACUUCGGUUAUAAGAUCCCUCAAAGAUGAUGAGGUUAAUAGGUUCGAGGUGGAAGCAUGGUGACAUGUGGAGCUGACGAAUACUAA
Molecule: ribosomal RNA, 1287 nt
Filed under: Staphylococcus aureus
Lineage: Bacteria; Bacillati; Bacillota; Bacilli; Caryophanales; Staphylococcaceae
Description: partial 23S ribosomal RNA
Rfam family: Bacterial large subunit ribosomal RNA
Source: RNAcentral